GCACAAGACCAGGAGGCCUCGCUCAGCGUUCCAGCGCCAUGAUAUACGCCGGAAGAAAGCCUUUGCUGACCAAAGUUCCCUGAAGAGGCAUCACUGGGACCUGAUCAAUGGAGCAAUGGGAUUCCAGUCUGCUGCAGCUGCAGGCAGGAAUGAGGAAAUCACAAGCUGCAGAGAGGUUGUGGAUUGGCUUGAAGGCUGGAGGCAUAGUAAGAACAACCUAGAAGAAGGAGGCCAACCAGUGCCAGCUGAAGUCCCUGCUUCCUGAGAUGAGCGGCCCUACUCUGCCACACACUGCCCACCGUGAUGCUCUACACUGCCACAGCUGAAAAGCAAAUGGUGCCAGCCACUCAUAGGCUGGCACCGCUAAGCCAGGAGCCAAAAUACGGGAGCCUAAUUGAAAUUCCUUAGCUAUUUCUCACCUGACAGAAACUCGCAUACUCAUCCAAAAGAAUUAUCUGGCCCAAAGCAUAAAUAGCACUAAGGUUGAAAAACGACAUUCUAGCACUCCAGAAUAAACUAGUUUUUGACAAUUUAACUAAACAACUUCUUGGCACUAACUUUGCCUUCCAAGUAAACAGUUACAUCAUACAAGCCACUGGCUGAAGAACGGGUAUGCGUGGUCCAGCCUUGAAGCGCAGUGGGUCACUCUUCCUCUUCAAAGCCGUGUGGUGUUGGCUUCUCACACACAGUGCUAUGCCCU
Molecule: non-coding RNA, 700 nt
Organism: Myodes glareolus (Bank vole)
Lineage: Eukaryota; Metazoa; Chordata; Mammalia; Rodentia; Cricetidae
Source: RefSeq, a predicted model, not a curated record